Molecule: ribosomal RNA, 261 nt
Filed under: uncultured bacterium
Lineage: Bacteria
Description: partial 16S ribosomal RNA
Rfam family: Bacterial small subunit ribosomal RNA
Source: RNAcentral
AGAGUUUGAUCCUGGCUCAGGACGAACGCUGGCGGCGUGCCUAACACAUGCAAGUCGAGCGGAGACAGUGAGUAGCUUGCUAUGAGCUGUUUUAGCGGCGGACGGGUGAGUAACGCGUGAGCAACCUUUCCCAGACAGGGGAAUAACACACCGAAAGGUGUACUAAUACCGCAUAAGACCACGGGAUCACAUGGUUCUGGGGUAAAACGAUUUAUCGGUUUAGGGGUGGGCUCGCGUCCGGUUAGUAGUUGGUGAGGUAAC